UAGCUUUGAAAUGCUUCGCCGACUUCGUACAAGGAUGCACCUCCAAAUCGAUCAAAGAGGUUUAAUUUGCACAGGAAUAAUAAUUGCCGAUCUGGAGCAGUAAACUAUGUUCUUUCAUCCGGCUUCAUACCGGGGUUACGCUAGUAGCAUAACAGAUCGAAAUAUAUCGAUCGCCUCCGAGUCUCCGAGUGCUAAAUUUUGGUGUACAGUUUACGUGUACUUGGAGAAAUUUAGGCUCUUGUGGAUAUACUAUGUUUUAGGACAAUAAAUAAUCGAGAUAAACGUACCAUCACUGGCUGUCUCCGUUUCCUGCACAGAAUACUGUCAUGCAUCAAUCAAUCAGAAACCGUAGGUCCAAUGAAAAGGACAUGGAAGACUACUGGAGUAAAAUAAUUGGCAAGGCCAACUGGAGCCUGAAGAAGAGCCAUGACUUUUUCUACUUAUGCGCGACGGGGAUAGAAAGACCGGUCCGUUUAACAAUUUCAGAAAUUGCAUAAUUUAAGAGCCACCGGCUAGAGGCGAGAGCAGGCUCUUUUUUUUUUCUUUUUCUCUUCAGCUGUAUGUCAGGAAUAAUGGAAGCAUCUGAUCCUAUGUGGCAGCGACACUAGUAGUAGGCAGAGGUUCGUAUGAUCGAUCAUCCGAUUGCCUUGGAACCUGCAAAUAAUCUUUCAUGCGUGAUGUACAUGUUCUUCAGUGGGUAGAGCACUUCCGUCAGGAAAACCAAAUUAGGCCGUCGAGGAUUGCAAUUUGCAGGUGAGGAACAUUUUGAAACUAAGAAAUUGCUUGUAGAAUUAGGUUGUGCAGAAACUGUUUUUGCUGCUACGUUUGGGUUUUAUCUUCGACUUGCCCUGAGAACAAGAGAAUUCGUAAAAUGCAGUGUUGCAAAGUCAGACAUAACCGGUUGUUGCAUAGAAUCAUGGGCUAGCAGCAGUCGCUAGGAAUAUCUCGUUUAUUAGUAGAUGGGAUCAGUAAUCGCUUUCAUGUCCACUUGUCGCCGGGCACCGUCCCGCCAUUCUCUAUUCGUUUUCUUCCCAAGACCGACCCAUCGAAUCAGAGUAAUUCCCCUGCUCAUCCGAUCCGCUGCACCCACGCACGCAUCACGGCAUGCAGCUAGGGAUCACGUACUGCACGGCACUACACGGUCGUAGUACGACUUAUCUUGGGGGCACUUGAAAGAUGCCUUUUCAACUGCGCUGUGCGUCGCAAGCAUGCACUCGGCACGCUACGCACGCAGCAGUACGAUCGAGCCUGCAAGUUUACGCCGCAGCCCGUACUUAUCCCGGCCAGUCGUAGGGCAACUACAUGUACUCUUGGAGGAAUUCAUCAGAUCGAUCAAAUGUUGCGUGCAAUAAUCGAGUCGGCCGGUGGUGGUGCGCCCCGGAAGGGG
This 1387-nucleotide long non-coding RNA is filed under the name Brachypodium distachyon (stiff brome). Its description in RNAcentral is "long non-coding RNA (BDIS_LNC001474)". The record is from RNAcentral. Lineage: Eukaryota; Viridiplantae; Streptophyta; Magnoliopsida; Poales; Poaceae.